Pelobates cultripes (western spadefoot toad) is the source of this 214-nucleotide non-coding RNA. Lineage: Eukaryota; Metazoa; Chordata; Amphibia; Anura; Pelobatidae. The record is from the annotation of a GenBank genome assembly.
ACUGAACCAAGUACCACACAGGCGGACCACGCAGAAGUAGAAGUGUGCAGGCAAUUUACCUCCCAGGCUGGGAGCCUGCUGUAGGUAAAUUGCCGACUGCUGGGUGGCCGCAGUUCGUGCAAACGAACACGUGGCGGUGGCCAUCUUUGUUCAUUCGAACGAGGUCAGCGGUAUGUGAAGCCAAAUUCAUGGAACUGAAAUCGGCUACACAUUU